AUACUUGAAACAUAUGAAGUAAUCACUAGAAGCCUCCUAGACCGCCCUAACGUUCCCUGCCAUGGAUUUAAAAGCAAAGAUUCAACAGUUCUAAAAUUUACUAAUACAUGUAUGAAUUUACUCCUGAAAUUAACGUUUUAUAAUUUGCUUUCUUACCUACCGACAACAUGAAAUUAUGAUCAAAUACACUAACCCAAAAGACUCAAAAGCAGUGCAGCUAGGAGAGACAUAUGGACAAUUAAAAUAGGAAAAAUAGGAAAUAUCCAAGACAUAGUACUUUUAGCCAAUCUUAUAGCUCCUGUCACCUCCACCUCGUUUGAAGCACUUGAUGUUGGAUAAAUGUUCAACUAUCAAACAAUAUUAAAUCAUAAAAGAUUUACGAAACACUUGAAAUCAACAUAAAAUUAGAAGGCAAUAGUCAGAAAGUAUGCAAAAGCAUUUCAUCGAACACCUAAAUUACAAA
This 463-nucleotide long non-coding RNA is filed under the name Nicotiana benthamiana. RNAcentral describes it as "long non-coding RNA (NBEN_LNC028515)". Lineage: Eukaryota; Viridiplantae; Streptophyta; Magnoliopsida; Solanales; Solanaceae. The record is from RNAcentral.